Molecule: non-coding RNA, 27 nt
Filed under: Homo sapiens (human)
Lineage: Eukaryota; Metazoa; Chordata; Mammalia; Primates; Hominidae
Source: RNAcentral
UCCAACAGAAACAGAUGUGCUCAAGCU